Molecule: ribosomal RNA, 503 nt
Filed under: uncultured bacterium
Lineage: Bacteria
Description: partial 16S ribosomal RNA
Rfam family: Bacterial small subunit ribosomal RNA
Source: RNAcentral
GUUGAACGCUGGCGGCAGGCUUAACACAUGCAAGUCGAGCGGGGUGAUGGUGCUUGCACAAUCACUUAGCGGCGGACGGGUGAGUAAUGCUUAGGAAUCUGCCUAUUAGUGGGGGACAACAUCUCGAAAGGGAUGCUAAUACCGCAUACGUCCUACGGGAGAAAGCAGGGGAUCACUUGUGACCUUGCGCUAAUAGAUGAGCCUAAGUCGGAUUAGCUAGUUGGUGGGGUAAAGGCCUACCAAGGCGACGAUCUGUAGCGGGUCUGAGAGGAUGGUCCGCCACACUGGGGCGGGGACACGGCCCAGACUCCUACGGGGGGCAGCAGUGGGGAAUAUUGGACAAUGGGGGGAACCCUGAUCCAGCCAUGCCGCGUGUGUGAAGAAGGCCUUAUGGUUGUAAAGCACUUUAAGCGAGGAGGAGGCUCUUUUGGUUAAUACCCAAGAUGAGUGGACGUUACUCGCAGAAUAAGCACCGGCUAACUCUGUGCCAGCCGCCGCAGUAA